AGGGCGUGGCGGGACCGGGGGUGCGGCGGCCGCUCCUGCCGGCCCCGACCUCGGCGGCAUUCUGGGUUCGAUCGUCGGAGGCCUUACCA
Molecule: transfer RNA, 89 nt
Filed under: Aurantiacibacter arachoides
Lineage: Bacteria; Pseudomonadati; Pseudomonadota; Alphaproteobacteria; Sphingomonadales; Erythrobacteraceae
Description: tRNA-Arg
Source: RNAcentral